Molecule: ribosomal RNA, 459 nt
Filed under: uncultured bacterium
Lineage: Bacteria
Description: partial 16S ribosomal RNA
Rfam family: Bacterial small subunit ribosomal RNA
Source: RNAcentral
CCUACGGGAGGCAGCAGUGAGGAAUAUUGGUCAAUGGCCGGAAGGCUGAACCAGCCAAGCCGCGUGAGGGAUGAAGGCGCAGAGCGUCGCAGACCUCUUUUGCCGGGGGACAAAAGGCCGGACGGGUCCGGUUCUGAGGGUACCCGGAGAAAAAGCAUCGGCAAACUCCGUGCCAGCAGCCGCGGUAAUACGGAGGAUGCGAGCGUUAUCCGGAUUCAUGGGGUUUAGAGGGUGCGCAGGGGGGACUUUAAGCCGGCGGGGAAAUCGCGGGGCUCAACCCCGCCGGGCCGUUGGAACUGGGGGACUUGAGUGCGGUGGAGGCAUGCGGAAUGCGCGGUGUAGCGGUGAAAUGCAUAGAUAUCGCGCAGAACCCCGAUUGCGAAGGCAGCGUGCCGUGCCGCCACUGACGCUGAGGCACGAAAGCGCGGGGAUCGAACAGGAUUAGAUACCCGAGUAGUC